AGUCGAGGGGCAGCAUGAUAAGUAGCAAUACUUAUUGAUGGCGACCGGCGCACGGGUGAGUAACGCGUAUGCAACUUACCUAUCAGAGGGGGAUAGCCCGGCGAAAGUCGGAUUAAUACUCCAUAAAACAGGGGUUCCGCAUGGGACUAUUUGUUAAAGAUUCAUCGCUGAUAGAUAGGCAUGCGUUCCAUUAGGCAGUUGGCGGGGUAACGGCCCACCAAACCGACGAUGGAUAGGGGUUCUGAGAGGAAGGUCCCCCACAUUGGUACUGAGACACGGACCAAACUCCUACGGGAGGCAGCAGUGAGGAAUAUUGGUCAAUGGCCGAGAGGCUGAACCAGCCAAGUCGCGUGAAGGAUGAAGGAUCUAUGGUUUGUAAACUUCUUUUAUAGGGGAAUAAAGUGUGGGACGUGUCCCAUUUUGUAUGUACCCUAUGAAUAAGCAUCGGCUAACUCCGUGCCAGCAGCCGCGGUAAUACGGAGGAUGCGAGCGUUAUCCGGAUUUAUUGGGUUUAAAGGGUGCGUAGGUGGUAAUUUAAGUCAGCGGUGAAAGUUUGUGGCUCAACCAUAAAAUUGCCGUUGAAACUGGG
Molecule: ribosomal RNA, 589 nt
Filed under: uncultured bacterium
Lineage: Bacteria
Description: bacterial SSU rRNA
Rfam family: Bacterial small subunit ribosomal RNA
Source: RNAcentral